GUAGCAAAAUGGCGACUGUCAUUCACAACCCCCUGAAAGCGCUCGGGGACCAGUUCUACAAGGAAGCCAUUGAGCACUGCCGGAGUUACAACUCGCGGCUGUGUGCGGAGCGCAGUGUGCGGCUCCCCUUCUUGGACUCGCAGACUGGGGUGGCCCAGAACAACUGCUACAUAUGGAUGGAGAAGAGGCACCGAGGCCCAGGCCUUGCUCCAGGCCAGCUGUACACAUACCCUGCCCGCUGCUGGCGUAAGAAGAGACGAUUGCACCCGCCUGAGGAUCCAAAGCUGCGGCUGCUGGAAAUAAAGCCUGAAGUGGAGCUGCCCCUGAAGAAGGAUGGGUUCACCUCGGAGAGCACCACACUAGAAGCCUUGCUUCGAGGGGAAGGGGUUGAGAAGAAGGUGGAUGCUAGAGAGGAGGAGAGCAUCCAGGAAAUACAGAGAGUUUUGGAAAAUGAUGAAAAUGUAGAAGAAGGAAAUGAAGAAGAGGAUUUAGAAGAGGAUAUUCCUAAGCGAAAGAACAGGACCAGAGGACGGGCCCGUGGCUCUGCCGGUGGCAGGAGGAGGCAUGACCCCGCCUCUCAGGAAGACCACGACAAACCUUAUGUCUGUGACAUCUGUGGCAAGCGCUACAAGAACCGGCCAGGACUCAGCUACCACUACGCUCACACUCACCUGGCCAGCGAGGAGGGGGAUGAAGCCCAAGACCAGGAGACCCGGUCCCCGCCCAACCACAGAAAUGAGAACCACAGACCCCAGAAAGGACCGGAUGGAACAGUCAUUCCUAAUAACUACUGUGACUUCUGCUUGGGGGGCUCUAACAUGAACAAGAAGAGUGGGCGGCCUGAAGAGCUGGUGUCCUGCGCAGACUGUGGACGCUCUGCUCAUUUGGGAGGAGAAGGCAGUAAGGAGAAGGAGGCAGCGGCCGCAGCACGCACCACGGAGGACUUAUUCGGUUCCACGUCAGAAAGUGACACCUCAACUUUCCACGGCUUUGAUGAGGACGAUUUGGAAGAGCCUCACUCCUGCCGAGGACGCCGCAGUGGCCGGGGCUCACCCACAGCAGAUAAAAAGGGCAGUUGCUAAACCCACGAACAGACUCUCUGGGGCAAUUAGCCAUCACCCUCUGACUUUGGUCAUUGUUCUGGUUCUGAUAUAUUUUUUUAAAAUGAAAGACAACUUUAGGUUUUCUCUUCAUCCUUGCUUUUUCCUCUUACCUUCCACGCACCCCUUCCCCCUUUCCUUCUGUUUUUUGAGUAUGUACAGCAGAAGCACAAACUACUGAAACACAACAGAACAAAAGAGCCAAGGAGUCCUUCAGAGAGGUGGCAUUGUGAUGUACUAUUUAUUUUCCAGAGAAAUGGGAGGUUAGGCGAAUUAUCUCUUUUUUUGGGGGGGAGGGGAUCUUUUUGACAUGAGCAGAGUUGAUUUCCUCAGUUUUCCUAUUUAUUGGCAAAGUGAAGAGAGAAGGAAUAUUGGGGUUUGGAAACAACCAAUUACAUUAAAUAAAUUAUUAUUUAUAUAUGCUGUUAUUAGAAACUGACUUUUUUUUUUGAGAGAGCAUGAAGGGAAAUCAAAGAAAUUGGAGUCAUAUCUGUUUAGCAGAAAGCCACUGGGGGGAGGAUUGGUUCAAGGAGACCCCGUCGGGAGGAUUUCCUCCAUGGGAGAUGGUUGCACUUUCUGUGCCCCCCACCCCCCGGCGUCUGUGGCUCCCCACGGCAGACCCCUCCCCAUGCCUCAUCCCCGACCUUUCCGUCUUCCUCCCUGCUUCCAAGAAAAUGCCAGCAGUUUCUGAGAAGUUUGGGGCUGCUGUGCGUGGCCUCCCUCCAGCGCCUGGGCACCCCCCAGCAGUGCCUCCGGGGCUCCUCCUCUUCAUCAGCACAGCCACUGUUUGGUGGGUGCUGGUUUUUCCUCACUUUCCUCCUGGUGAAGAGCAAUUUCCAAAUGCAGGAACGGAAUCUGAGCAGAAAGUCACGGACUUGGCAGCGAGAAAACAACCCGAGGCUGCACAUGUGGAAGAGAGAAUGACACCUGAAGUGUAUUUCCCUCCCCCCUCGCCCCUGUUUACAAACAUAUAAAUUCCCGUUGGAUGAUCAAGUCUCCCGUAUUUCUUCCAUUUUUUUUAUAGUGCCCCCCAGGCACUUUGUUUUAUGUUUUCCAAUAGCAUCUCCUGAAAUAAACCAAAGCAACACUUGCUCAAGGCCCCUGGGGCGAUGGAGAAGACCAUCCACCUUGUUGGCAGUCCCAAGAAUGAACGGCUCUGCAGUCCUAGUCAAAAGUCAACUCUAUGACCUGGGGACUCCGGCAUCCUUCAAGCAAGCCAUUUCCGAAGAAGGUGAAAAGAAGGCUCGAUGAUUUGCACCUCCUCCUCCUCCUCCUCCUCCUUCUCUUCCUUUUUCCUUGCCCGGCCCCUUCCUGCACGUGUGUUUCAGCCAACAGAGGAGCUUGGAUUGUGGAAAAGCCUCCAGCGCAACUCAGCUCAGAAGAGUCUCGGGAAUGGCCUAAGUUUGUGCA
Pteronotus mesoamericanus is the source of this 2510-nucleotide RNA transcript. It is a transcript of the gene named double PHD fingers 3, with no coding region annotated. The transcript has 10 exons. Lineage: Eukaryota; Metazoa; Chordata; Mammalia; Chiroptera; Mormoopidae. The record is from RefSeq and is a predicted model, not a curated record.